CCGCCCAGAGGUAAACGGGUGGAUCCGCAAAGUCGGUCCGCGGAAUUCAGCGCGGCGCGCGGUCCGGGGCUGCUAUUGUUUGGGAUCCUUUGGGAACCUGCAGUGGUGCCGAGCCGGGCCCCGCCGCGUGCACUUUCCGCGGACAGAGAGCCACAACCGGUUUGGUGGGCGGUCACAAGCCCUGAUGGUUGUCGGUGGGGGCGCUUGCGUCCCUACCAGCCAUCUAAGGCAAGCCGUCUCCAGACCGAGGAACCGCCGCUCACUUCGAGGCCGCCCUCCCUUCCGGGUGAGUUCGACUGGGAGAGACUGGGCAACCGUGUCUCCCGACCGCUCACUCGUGACCGGCGCGGGGUUGGCCGGGAGAGCACCCGGGUUGGUGGCAAGUCUGUCGGCAUUCCACCCGACCCGUCUUGAAACACGGACCAAGGAGUCUAACAUGCGCGCGAGUCAUUGGGCGGUACGAAACCCAAAGGCGCAGUGAAAGCGAGGGCCUGUCAAAGGGCUCAGGUGGGAUCCAGUCGCCCCCUAGGCCUUUCG
RNAcentral lists this ribosomal RNA (537 nucleotides) under Sarika sp. 1 PJ-2020. RNAcentral's name for it is "partial large subunit ribosomal RNA". Lineage: Eukaryota; Metazoa; Mollusca; Gastropoda; Stylommatophora; Ariophantidae. The record is from RNAcentral.